CCUACGGGAGGCAGCAGUGGGGGAUAUUGCACAAUGGGGGAAACCCUGAUGCAGCGACGCCGCGUGAGCGAUGAAGUAUUUCGGUAUGUAAAGCUCUAUCAGCAGGGAAGAAAAUGACGGUACCUGACUAAGAAGCCCCGGCUAACUACGUGCCAGCAGCCGCGGUAAUACGUAGGGGGCAAGCGUUAUCCGGAUUUACUGGGUGUAAAGGGAGCGUAGACGGCAGUGCAAGUCUGAAGUGAAAGGCAAGGGCUCAACCCUUGGACUGCUUUGGAAACUGUGCUGCUGGAGUGUCGGAGAGGCAA
RNAcentral lists this ribosomal RNA (305 nucleotides) under uncultured bacterium. RNAcentral's name for it is "bacterial SSU rRNA". It matches the Rfam family "Bacterial small subunit ribosomal RNA", at positions 338 to 660 of the family's 1533-position model. The record is from RNAcentral.